AUUGAACGCUGGCGGCAGGCUUAACACAUGCAAGUCGAGCGGAGCGAGGGUGCUUGCACCUUAGCUUAGCGGCGGACGGGUGAGUAAUGCUUAGGAAUCUGCCUAUUAGUGGGGGACAACAUUCCGAAAGGGAUGCUAAUACCGCAUACGCCCUACGGGGGAAAGCAGGGGAUCUUCGGACCUUGCGCUAAUAGAUGAGCCUAAGUCGGAUUAGCUAGUUGGUGGGGUAAAGGCCUACCAAGGCGACGAUCUGUAGCGGGUCUGAGAGGAUGAUCCGCCACACUGGGACUGAGACACGGCCCAGACUCCUACGGGAGGCAGCAGUGGGGAAUAUUGGACAAUGGGGGGAACCCUGAUCCAGCCAUGCCGCGUGUGUGAAGAAGGCCUUUUGGUUGUAAAGCACUUUAAGCGAGGAGGAGGCGCUCUAGGAUAAUACCCUAGAUGCGUGGACGUACUCGCAGAA
RNAcentral lists this ribosomal RNA (463 nucleotides) under Acinetobacter sp. oral taxon C51. RNAcentral describes it as "bacterial SSU rRNA". It matches the Rfam family "Bacterial small subunit ribosomal RNA", at positions 30 to 486 of the family's 1533-position model. Lineage: Bacteria; Pseudomonadati; Pseudomonadota; Gammaproteobacteria; Moraxellales; Moraxellaceae. The record is from RNAcentral.